AAAGUGCGAAAAGUGAUGCGAUUUGCAUGAAUCUGUGAGUCAUCUAAUUUUUGAACGCGAAUGGCACUGUUAUGUAAGUAACAGUAUGUCUGUUUGAGAAUCGCAAAACACGAUCAACUCUAGUUAAGAGUUGGGAAUAAUGACCUUACAUAGUGAUGUGUUUGGUUUGAAUAAAUAGGUUGAUGAGUUCCCCAACACGGCUCAAUGUGUGCUAGCGAGACAGUCGUCCCGAUCUCACAUUUCGGCUGCGUUGCAGAGUUCUAUCCAACAACCUCUUACCUAUCAAAUACGAUCUCAAAUCAGGCAAGAUUACCCGCUGAACUUAA
Molecule: unclassified non-coding RNA, 326 nt
Filed under: uncultured Pezizomycotina
Lineage: Eukaryota; Fungi; Ascomycota
Description: sequence contains ITS1
Rfam family: 5.8S ribosomal RNA (bases 1-103)
Source: RNAcentral